This 511-nucleotide ribosomal RNA is filed under the name uncultured archaeon. Its description in RNAcentral is "bacterial SSU rRNA". It matches the Rfam family "Archaeal small subunit ribosomal RNA", at positions 346 to 859 of the family's 1478-position model. The record is from RNAcentral.
ACCUCUGCAAUAGGCGAAAGCCUGACAGGGUUACUCUGAGUGACUUUCGUUAAGAGAGUCUUUUGGCACCCCUAAAAAGGGUGUAGAAUAAGGGGUGGGCAAGUCUGGUGUCAGCCGCCGCGGUAAUACCAGCACCCCGAGUGGUCGGGACGAUUAUUGGGCCUAAAGCAUCCGUAGCCGGUUCUGCAAGUCCUCCGUUAAAUCCAACUGCUUAACAGAUGGGCCGCGGAGGAUACUACAGAGCUAGGAGGCAGGAGAGGCAAGCGGUACUCAGUGGGUAGGGGUAAAAUCCGUUGAUCCAUUGAAGACCACCAGUGGCGAAGGCGGCUUGCCAGAAUGCGCUCGACGGUGAGGGAUGAAAGCUGGGGGAGCAAACCGGAUUAGAUACCCGGGUAGUCCCAGCCGUAAACGAUGCAGACUCGGUGAUGGGUUGGCUUCGUGCUAACCCAGUGCCGCAGGGAAGCCGUUAAGUCUGCCGCCUGGGUAGUACGGUCGCAAGACUGAAACUUAA